UACAGAGGUGGCGAGCGUUGUUCGGAAUUACUGGGCGUAAAGGGCGCGUAGGCGGUUCGUUAAGUCCUGUGUGAAAUCCCCCGGCUCAACUGGGGAACUGCACAGGAAACUAGCGGGCUUGAGUUCGGGAGAGGGAAGCGGAGUUCCGGGUGUAGCGGUGAAAUGCGUAGAUAUCCGGAGGAACACCGGUGGCGAAGGCGGCUUCCUGGACCGACACUGACGCUGAGGCGCGAAAGCUAGGGGAGCAAACGGG
Molecule: ribosomal RNA, 253 nt
Filed under: uncultured bacterium
Lineage: Bacteria
Description: partial 16S ribosomal RNA
Rfam family: Bacterial small subunit ribosomal RNA
Source: RNAcentral